GACGAACGCUGGCGGCGUGCUUAACACAUGCAAGUCGAACGGAAAGGCCCUGCUUUUGUGGGGUGCUCGAGUGGCGAACGGGUGAGUAACACGUGAGUAACCUGCCCUUGACUUUGGGAUAACUUCAGGAAACUGGGGCUAAUACCGGAUAGGAGCUCCUGCUGCAUGGUGGGGGUUGGAAAGUUUCGGCGGUUGGGGAUGGACUCGCGGCUUAUCAGCUUGUUGGUGGGGUAGUGGCUUACCAAGGCUUUGACGGGUAGCCGGCCUGAGAGGGUGACCGGCCACAUUGGGACUGAGAUACGGCCCAGACUCCUACGGGAGGCAGCAGUGGGGAAUAUUGCACAAUGGGCGGAAGCCUGAUGCAGCAACGCCGCGUGCGGGAUGACGGCCUUCGGGUUGUAAACCGCUUUCGCCUGUGACGAAGCGUGAGUGACGGUAAUGGGUAAGAAGCACCAGCUAACUACGUG
RNAcentral lists this ribosomal RNA (467 nucleotides) under uncultured bacterium. Its description in RNAcentral is "partial 16S ribosomal RNA". It matches the Rfam family "Bacterial small subunit ribosomal RNA", at positions 28 to 507 of the family's 1533-position model. The record is from RNAcentral.